AAAUUGAAGAGUUUGAUCAUGGCUCAGAUUGAACGCUGGCGGCAGGCCUAACACAUGCAAGUCGAGCGGCAGCGGGAAGUAGUUUACUACUUUGCCGGCGAGCGGCGGACGGGUGAGUAAUGUCUGGGAAACUGCCUGAUGGAGGGGGAUAACUA
RNAcentral lists this ribosomal RNA (155 nucleotides) under Yersinia enterocolitica. Its description in RNAcentral is "partial 16S ribosomal RNA". It matches the Rfam family "Bacterial small subunit ribosomal RNA", at positions 1 to 149 of the family's 1533-position model. The record is from RNAcentral. Lineage: Bacteria; Pseudomonadati; Pseudomonadota; Gammaproteobacteria; Enterobacterales; Yersiniaceae.